Molecule: ribosomal RNA, 253 nt
Filed under: uncultured bacterium
Lineage: Bacteria
Description: partial 16S ribosomal RNA
Rfam family: Bacterial small subunit ribosomal RNA
Source: RNAcentral
UACGGGGGGGGCAAGCGUUGUUCGGAAUUACUGGGCGUAAAGGGCUCGUAGGCGGCCAACUAAGUCAGACGUGAAAUCCCUCGGCUUAACCGGGGAACUGCAUCUGAUACUGGAUGGCUUGAGUUCGGGAGAGGGAUGCGGAAUUCCAGGUGUAGCGGUGAAAUGCGUAGAUAUCUGGAGGAACACCGGUGGCGAAGGCGGUUCUCUGGGCAUGUCCUGACGCUGAGGAGCGAAAGUGUGGGGAGCGAACAGG